Molecule: unclassified non-coding RNA, 290 nt
Filed under: fungal sp.
Lineage: Eukaryota; Fungi
Description: partial internal transcribed spacer region
Rfam family: Eukaryotic small subunit ribosomal RNA (bases 1-45)
Source: RNAcentral
AGUCGUAACAAGGUUUCCGUAGGUGAACCUGCGGAAGGAUCAUUAACAUGUGUAACGAAGAGUUUGAGUGGGGGUUAGUGUAGGAGGAGGGGAGAGAGAAGGUGGAAUGAAUGCAAGUUUAUUCAAGUGUGAUUAAGCGCAAGUCUGUUCACAUUUGAUUAGACGCAAGUCUGUUCCACCUUCUUUGUCUAGGUGUAAGCUUAUUCACCCCACCUUCUGGCUGCCCCAAAAACAUUAACAUACGAGUAAGGACAUUCAUACAACUACUAACAAUGGAUCUCUUGGCUCUC